AUGAAGAAGAUCAUGAACCGUUGCCGCAAGCUAGCGGGCAUGCUUGGGUGCGCUACCUCUGUUGACGUGCAUGUUCCUCCUCCUGGUGGGUCGACACGUUCCCUAGCUUCAUCAAGCAACACCGGCGGAGGUUCCUCGAGCCAUGCCGCCUCGUCGUCUCGCCUUGUUGACGAGUCCGAGGAAGAAGAUGAUCAGAGAGAAGAGGACGAGGAGGAAGAGGGAGAAGAGGAGUACGACGAAGGAGGUGAUGAUGAGGAGGAGUACGACGACGACGACGGACCUCAACCGACUCAGCCAACCCAGAAGAAGAGAGGGGAAGUUUCGAAGAGAUAUGAGGAGCGUGCCGCCAAGAGGGGGAGGGGGAGGAACUAG
Molecule: ribosomal RNA, 372 nt
Filed under: Triticum aestivum (bread wheat)
Lineage: Eukaryota; Viridiplantae; Streptophyta; Magnoliopsida; Poales; Poaceae
Description: partial small subunit ribosomal RNA
Source: RNAcentral